RNAcentral lists this ribosomal RNA (253 nucleotides) under uncultured bacterium. RNAcentral describes it as "partial 16S ribosomal RNA". It matches the Rfam family "Bacterial small subunit ribosomal RNA", at positions 524 to 776 of the family's 1533-position model. The record is from RNAcentral.
UACGAGGAGGCCGAGCGUUGUUCGGAUUCAUUGGGCGUAAAGGGUGCGUAGGCGGCGGGGUAAGUUUGAUGUGAAAUCCCGGGGCUCAACCCUGGAAUUGCAUUGAAUACUACCUUGCUAGAGUACCGGAGAGGAAACUGGAAUUUACGGUGUAGCAGUGAAAUGCGUAGAGAUCGUAAGGAAGACCAGUGGCGAAGGCGAGUUUCUGGACGGUAACUGACGCUGAGGCACGAAGGCCAGGGGAGCAAACGGG